CAAGUCGAGCGAGAUCUUCGGGUCUAGCGGCGGACGGGUGAGUAACGCGUGGGAAUGUGCCCUUCUCUACGGAAUAGCCUCGGGAAACUGGGAGUAAUACCGUAUACGCCCUUUGGGGGAAAGAUUUAUCGGAGAAGGAUCAGCCCGCGUUGGAUUAGGUAGUUGGUGGGGUAAUGGCCUACCAAGCCUACGAUCCAUAGCUGGUUUGAGAGGAUGAUCAGCCACACUGGGACUGAGACACGGCCCAGACUCCUACGGGAGGCAGCAGUGGGGAAUCUUAGACAAUGGGGGCAACCCUGAUCUAGCCAUGCCGCGUGAGUGAUGAAGGCCUUAGGGUUGUAAAGCUCUUUCAGCUGGGAAGAUAAUGACGGUACCAGCAGAAGAAGCCCCGGCUAACUCCGUGCCAGCAGCCGCGGUAAUACGGAGGGGGCUAGCGUUGUUCGGAAUUACUGGGCGUAAAGCGCACGUAGGCGGACCAGAAAGUUGGGGGUGAAAUCCCGGGGCUCAACCUCGGAACUGCCUUCAAAACUAUUGGUCUGGAGUUCGAGAGAGGUGAGUGGAAUUCCGAGUGUAGAGGUGAAAUUCGUAGAUAUUCGGAGGAACACCAGUGGCGAAGGCGGCUCACUGGCUCGAUACUGACG
RNAcentral lists this ribosomal RNA (641 nucleotides) under Paracoccus sp. DNB2. RNAcentral's name for it is "bacterial SSU rRNA". It matches the Rfam family "Bacterial small subunit ribosomal RNA", at positions 58 to 745 of the family's 1533-position model. Lineage: Bacteria; Pseudomonadati; Pseudomonadota; Alphaproteobacteria; Rhodobacterales; Paracoccaceae. The record is from RNAcentral.